GGGGGAUUGGCUCAGUUGGGAGAGCGCUUGCAUGGCAUGCAAGAGGUCAUCGGUUCGAACCCGAUAUCCUCCA
Molecule: transfer RNA, 73 nt
Filed under: Candidatus Poribacteria bacterium
Lineage: Bacteria; Candidatus Poribacteria
Description: tRNA-Ala
Rfam family: tRNA
About the family: Transfer RNA (tRNA) molecules are approximately 80 nucleotides in length. Their secondary structure includes four short double-helical elements and three loops (D, anti-codon, and T loops). Further hydrogen bonds mediate the characteristic L-shaped molecular structure. tRNAs have two regions of fundamental functional importance: the anti-codon, which is responsible for specific mRNA codon recognition, and the 3' end, to which the tRNAs corresponding amino acid is attached (by aminoacyl-tRNA synthetases). tRNAs cope with the degeneracy of the genetic code in two manners: having more than one tRNA (with a specific anti-codon) for a particular amino acid; and 'wobble' base-pairing, i.e. permitting non-standard base-pairing at the 3rd anti-codon position.
Source: RNAcentral